AUUGAACGCUGGCGGCAUGCUUUACACAUGCAAGUCGAACGGUAACAGGGAGCUUGCUCCGCUGACGAGUGGCGAACGGGUGAGUAAUAUAUCGGAACGUACCCAAGAGUGGGGGAUAACGUAGCGAAAGUUACGCUAAUACCGCAUACGAUCUAUGGUUGAAAGUGAGGGAUCGCAAGACCUCAUGUCCCUGGAGCGGCUGAUAUCUGAUUAGCUAGUCGGUGAGGUAAAGGCUCACCAAGGCGACGAUCAGUAGCUGGUCUGAGAGGACGACCAGCCACACUGGAACUGAGACACGGUCCAGACUCCUACGGGAGGCAGCAGUGGGGAAUUUUGGACAAUGGGCGCAAGCCUGAUCCAGCAAUGCCGCGUGAGUGAAGAAGGCCUUCGGGUUGUAAAGCUCUUUUGUCAGGGAAGAAACGGGAGUGGCUAAUAUCCAUUCCUAAUGACGGUACCUGAAGAAUAAGCACCGGCUAACUACGUGCCAGCCGCCGCCGUAA
Molecule: ribosomal RNA, 500 nt
Filed under: uncultured bacterium
Lineage: Bacteria
Description: partial 16S ribosomal RNA
Rfam family: Bacterial small subunit ribosomal RNA
Source: RNAcentral